Orcinus orca (killer whale) is the source of this 1360-nucleotide long non-coding RNA. RefSeq lists it as uncharacterized. The transcript is spliced from 2 exons. NCBI's taxonomy places the organism in Eukaryota, Metazoa, Chordata, Mammalia, Artiodactyla, Delphinidae. The record is from RefSeq and is a predicted model, not a curated record.
CGGCUCAGCAACAAGUCGGGCUGCUUCCUCCUGACUCACUUUCUUCUCAUCAGGAAAUGGGAGCCUCUGUCCUCACAGGUUUCACUGAGGCCACAGGCAAUACCCUCCAAAAAGAAGCCAGUGAAGUGUGGACUCAGAUACCCUCAGAAGUGAGAUGUUUGGGUACGACUGUCAUAUAAACACAGACCUCAGGGGACGAAGUGAGAAAAAACAACUCUAGCCACUUCCUCUCUCUGACCUCCUGCAGGAACUCUGGGGACCCUCCACUCCUGCCAGGACAUGCCACCUGGUCCCCUCUGGGCUACGACCCUCUGCCAUGGUCCAGGGAAGCCAACACCCCCGCAGAGAGUGAAGGGCUGUGCCUCUCCCAGGCUGGGCUGGAUGGGCCAGCACAGGAGAUGGGCGUGGCUGAGGUGGCAGGUUCUGGACUGCGUGCAGGGGAGUGGGUUCCCCUCCCUUCCCCUCGACUCCGGGUCGGGCUCUGGGAGCCCUACAGCCCCUUUGGCUCACCAGGCUGAACAGCAACCCCUUUGCAAUAACAGCCUCUGGGAACGAGAGACAAGCUUGGUUCACAGAGCAACCAGAGCUUUAAGGGGCGGGGGGGUGCUGGGGGCAGAGGGUGCUGCUUCAUGACGGGGCUUCCCUCUCACCUCACGUCUCUGUUCUCAGGCCCCAGGGGAGUCCCAUCUUGUUUGAACUCACUGGUAAGUUGUCUAAGAGCUCGUGGGGACCUUGGGGGCAGGAAAUCCUUUCUCAAAGUCAGGCCCAAUUCCACUGGGCUCUUGCCUGAGGUGUGGAGGGAGUGAGAGAUGGGGACAUGCCUCUCCUUCCCCUGCUAGUGUCUCCUGGACCCUGUGAGAACAGGCUAUGAGGGGCAAAGAGCAGCAGAAGGGAAAACCAGAGCGUUCUGGUUAUGAACCCAACAUCAGUGCCGGCUGACCCUGGGGUGCUGCACUGGGAGACCUCUGCUAGUCCUUGUAAGGACUAGUCCUUCAUGCACCUAUCUUCCAGGAGUCUGGGAAAGAUUCUGAGCCUGGGGAAUAGGCCGACACAGAGAAGAUGCUCAGAAAGCAUUCGUGGGUGGAUGGAUGGAUGGAUGGAUGAAUAAAAGAAAUAAAAGUUAGAUGGAUCCAAGUGGGAAAUGGAUGGGUGGAUGGAUAGCAGAUGUGUGGAUGAUAGGUGAGUGGGUGGCAGGAUGGUGGACUGAUGGAUGGAUGGAUGGAUGGUGGCAGGAUGGAGGAUGGAUGGAUGGAUGGUGGAUUGAUGGAUUGAUGGACGGAUGGUGGAUGGAUGGUGGUUGGACGGAUGAGUAGGUAGGUGGGGAACUGGAUAAAAGAAUUGAUAAAAAAGGAAGGGAAAA